AGAGUUUGAUCCUGGCUCAGAUUGAACGCUGGCGGCAGGCUUAACACAUGCAAGUCGAGCGGAGAGAGGUAGCUUGCUACUGAUCUUAGCGGCGGACGGGUGAGUAAUGCUUAGGAAUCUGCCUAUUAGUGGGGGACAACAUUUCGAAAGGAAUGCUAAUACCGCAUACGACCUACGGGAGAAAGCAGGGGAUCUUCGGACCUUGCGCUAAUAGAUGAGUCUAAGUCGGAUUAGCUAGUUGGUGGGGUAAAGGCCUACCAAGGCGACGAUCUGUAGCGGGUCUGAGAGGAUGAUCCGCCACACUGGGACUGAGACACGGCCCAGACUCCUACGGGAGGCAGCAGUGGGGAAUAUUGGACAAUGGGCGCAAGCCUGAUCCAGCCAUGCCGCGUGUGUGAAGAAGGCCUUAUGGUUGUAAAGCACUUUAAGCGAGGAGGAGGCUACUUUAGUUAAUACCUAGAGAUAGUGGACGUUACUCGCAGAAUAAGCACCGGCUAACUCUGUGCCAGCAGCCGCGGUAAUACAGAGGGUGCAAGCGUUAAUCGGAUUUACUGGGCGUAAAGCGCGCGUAGGCGGCUACUUAAGUCAAAUGUGAAAUCCCCGAGCUUAACUUGGGAAUUGCAUUCGAUACUGGUUAGCUAGAGUGUGGGAGAGGAUGGUAGAAUUCCAGGUGUAGCGGUGAAAUGCGUAGAGAUCUGGAGGAAUACCGAUGGCGAAGGCAGCCAUCUGGCCUAACACUGACGCUGAGGUGCGAAAGCAUGGGGAGCAAACAGGAUUAGAUACCCUGGUAGUCC
Molecule: ribosomal RNA, 794 nt
Filed under: uncultured bacterium
Lineage: Bacteria
Description: bacterial SSU rRNA
Rfam family: Bacterial small subunit ribosomal RNA
Source: RNAcentral